GGUGCUAAGGGUCCAUGUGAAGGGAGUGGUCCACGGGUCCAUGGGAUUUAUUCACGGUCAGCAAACACUCUAAAUGGGAAAAGUCAACUUGUGAUACAAAUGGGUUAGCCCAUUUGAUCAUAAGUUAGUCAAUUUGGUUCUAAACCAAAUUUGCAGCCCAUUUGAAUGAAUUUUUGACCCGAAAAAAUUCCACAUGAGUCUGACUCAUAGGAGAUUCAAUUGGGUCUAGUUUCGGCUCGAUCCAAGUCCGACUUAGAUCAGAACAAAUAUGAAAUUAAAUCUCAAUUAAAUCAUGAUCGAGCCCAAUUACACUAAUUUAGACCCAAUCAAAUCCAAUCUCAACAAUUG
RNAcentral lists this long non-coding RNA (348 nucleotides) under Phoenix dactylifera (date palm). Its description in RNAcentral is "long non-coding RNA (PDAC_LNC016326)". Lineage: Eukaryota; Viridiplantae; Streptophyta; Magnoliopsida; Arecales; Arecaceae. The record is from RNAcentral.